CUUUUCUUGUUUUUAUUUGAAGUAUGGCCUGCCCACUGAUUUUAUUUAAUGGCCGCGGUAUUUUGACUGUGCGAAGGUAGCAUAAUCAUUAGUUUUUUAAUUGGAAGCUGGAAUGAAUGGCUAGACAAAAUACUUGCUGUCUUAGUUUUUAAUUAAUUUAUAUUAGAAUUUAAUUAUUAUGUUAGAAGGCUUGAAUUUUUUUAUGGGACGAUAAGACCCUAUAGAGUUUAAAAAUAUAUAAUUAAUUUUUGGUUGGUAAUAUAUUUUUUGGUUAUUUAUUUUUUGGUUGGGGUGAUUUUUGGAAAUGUUUAACUCUUUUUGGUUGUAAUUACUUAUUUGUAUAUUUUUAUGAUCCAGAAUUUAAUGAUUAAAAGAUAAAAUUACC
RNAcentral lists this ribosomal RNA (385 nucleotides) under Isoldaia sp. FL-2014. Its description in RNAcentral is "partial 16S ribosomal RNA". The record is from RNAcentral. Lineage: Eukaryota; Metazoa; Arthropoda; Insecta; Blattodea; Pseudophyllodromiidae.